AGCGUACACGGUGGAUGCCCUGGCAGUCAGAGGCGAUGAAGGACGUGCUAAUCUGCGAUAAGCGUCGGUAAGGUGAUAUGAACCGUUAUAACCGGCGAUUUCCGAAUGGGGAAACCCAGUGUGAUUCGUCACACUAUCAUUAACUGAAUCCAUAGGUUAAUGAGGCGAACCGGGGGAACUGAAACAUCUAAGUACCCCGAGGAAAAGAAAUCAACCGAGAUUCCCCCAGUAGCGGCGAGCGAACGGGGAGCAGCCCAGAGCCUGAAUCAGUGUGUGUGUUAGUGGAAGCGUCUGGAAAGGCGCGCGAUACAGGGUGACAGCCCCGUACACAAAAAUGCACAUGCUGUGAGCUCGAUGAGUAGGGCGGGACACGUGGUAUCCUGUCUGAAUAUGGGGGGACCAUCCUCCAAGGCUAAAUACUCCUGACUGACCGAUAGUGAACCAGUACCGUGAGGGAAAGGCGAAAAGAACCCCGGCGAGGGGAGUGAAAAAGAACCUGAAACCGUGUACGUACAAGCAGUGGGAGCCUCUUUAUGGGGUGACUGCGUACCUUUUGUAUAAUGGGUCAGCGACUUAUAUUCUGUAGCAAGGUUAACCGAAUAGGGGAGCCGAAGGGAAACCGAGUCUUAACUGGGCGUUAAGUUGCAGGGUAUAGACCCGAAACCCGGUGAUCUAGCCAUGGGCAGGUUGAAGGUUGGGUAACACUAACUGGAGGACCGAACCGACUAAUGUUGAAAAAUUAGCGGAUGACUUGUGGCUGGGGGUGAAAGGCCAAUCAAACCGGGAGAUAGCUGGUUCUCCCCGAAAGCUAUUUAGGUAGCGCCUCGUGAAUUCAUCUCCGGGGGUAGAGCACUGUUUCGGCAAGGGGGUCAUCCCGACUUACCAACCCGAUGCAAACUGCGAAUACCGGAGAAUGUUAUCACGGGAGACACACGGCGGGUGCUAACGUCCGUCGUGAAGAGGGAAACAACCCAGACCGCCAGCUAAGGUCCCAAAGUCAUGGUUAAGUGGGAAACGAUGUGGGAAGGCCCAGACAGCCAGGAUGUUGGCUUAGAAGCAGCCAUCAUUUAAAGAAAGCGUAAUAGCUCACUGGUCGAGUCGGCCUGCGCGGAAGAUGUAACGGGGCUAAAUCAUGCACCGAAGCUGCGGCAGCGACGCUUAUGCGUUGUUGGGUAGGGGAGCGUUCUGUAAGCCUGCGAAGGUGUGCUGUGAGGCAUGCUGGAGGUAUCAGAAGUGCGAAUGCUGACAUAAGUAACGAUAAAGCGGGUGAAAAGCCCGCUCGCCGGAAGACCAAGGGUUCCUGUCCAACGUUAAUCGGGGCAGGGUGAGUCGACCCCUAAGGCGAGGCCGAAAGGCGUAGUCGAUGGGAAACAGGUUAAUAUUCCUGUACUUGGUGUUACUGCGAAGGGGGGACGGAGAAGGCUAUGUUGGCCGGGCGACGGUUGUCCCGGUUUAAGCGUGUAGGCUGGUUUUCCAGGCAAAUCCGGAAAAUCAAGGCUGAGGCGUGAUGACGAGGCACUACGGUGCUGAAGCAACAAAUGCCCUGCUUCCAGGAAAAGCCUCUAAGCAUCAGGUAACAUCAAAUCGUACCCCAAACCGACACAGGUGGUCAGGUAGAGAAUACCAAGGCGCUUGAGAGAACUCGGGUGAAGGAACUAGGCAAAAUGGUGCCGUAACUUCGGGAGAAGGCACGCUGAUAUGUAGGUGAAGCGACUUGCUCGUGGAGCUGAAAUCAGUCGAAGAUACCAGCUGGCUGCAACUGUUUAUUAAAAACACAGCACUGUGCAAACACGAAAGUGGACGUAUACGGUGUGACGCCUGCCCGGUGCCGGAAGGUUAAUUGAUGGGGUUAGCGGUAACGCGAAGCUCUUGAUCGAAGCCCCGGUAAACGGCGGCCGUAACUAUAACGGUCCUAAGGUAGCGAAAUUCCUUGUCGGGUAAGUUCCGACCUGCACGAAUGGCGUAAUGAUGGCCAGGCUGUCUCCACCCGAGACUCAGUGAAAUUGAACUCGCUGUGAAGAUGCAGUGUACCCGCGGCAAGACGGAAAGACCCCGUGAACCUUUACUAUAGCUUGACACUGAACAUUGAGCCUUGAUGUGUAGGAUAGGUGGGAGGCUUUGAAGUGUGGACGCCAGUCUGCAUGGAGCCGACCUUGAAAUACCACCCUUUAAUGUUUGAUGUUCUAACGUGGACCCGUGAUCCGGGUUGCGGACAGUGUCUGGUGGGUAGUUUGACUGGGGCGGUCUCCUCCUAAAGAGUAACGGAGGAGCACGAAGGUUGGCUAAUCCUGGUCGGACAUCAGGAGGUUAGUGCAAUGGCAUAAGCCAGCUUGACUGCGAGCGUGACGGCGCGAGCAGGUGCGAAAGCAGGUCAUAGUGAUCCGGUGGUUCUGAAUGGAAGGGCCAUCGCUCAACGGAUAAAAGGUACUCCGGGGAUAACAGGCUGAUACCGCCCAAGAGUUCAUAUCGACGGCGGUGUUUGGCA
RNAcentral lists this ribosomal RNA (2485 nucleotides) under human gut metagenome. RNAcentral describes it as "bacterial LSU rRNA". It matches the Rfam family "Bacterial large subunit ribosomal RNA", at positions 14 to 2523 of the family's 2925-position model. The record is from RNAcentral.